AAUAGCCGUUGUAAUCUUCCAGUGACGAAAGAAUAUGAGAAGCUAUAGACGUCCCCCCUUUCCCCUCCCACGUUCACGCAUGCGAUAAACACACGCGCGUCUAUAUAUUUACUAUUCCAGGAUUCCUCACACAAACAGGUAGCCAUUCUAGAGAGUGGUGGUUUAUUGUGGCUCAUGCUUCAAUGGAGAGAAGGGUGGCUUUCGCGGCGAUCAAGAUGCAUUCGAUGAUCCGAACUGUAAGCAUUGUAGUAAAUCUGUAGCUGGUCCGAUUCGUCUUCUUCGCCGAAGGGAUUUUCAUUCAUUCUGCUAAGAGAUUCACAAUUGGACCUGAUCCCAAACAUGGCCCUGCUUUCUUUUCGAUCGUUGCUCGAGUGAGAAGACAAAAGGUCCUAACUCCCUCAUGAAAGACGGCAACUGUAAUGGCUGUGAAGGAGACCUUAAGGCCGGCCUCUCGGCACUUUUUUCGCUACAUUAUUCUUGGUGGAUGAGAUUUAUUGAUGCUCAGGGUGAUUAUCGAAGGCAUGUCCCGUAUCCUCUAGUUGCUAGUAGCCUUUUACCUAUGAAUCGUUUGAAUUUAAAUCAUUCUUUUACUCUAUUUUUUUUUUUUUUUUUUUUAUAAAACUCAAGCAAUCUAUCAAUUUUAAGGUUUGUCGUGGAGCAUGUUGGUGCUCGAAUUUGAUAGGGUGGGGACUGUUGUUACUUCAGUUUAGAACCAUGCCAUGGAGGGCUCUGGAAUCGGGGUGUUACUCUACUUAUGCUUGUUAUCUAAAUUCUUGAUGAAUUUAAUCGCUCUCUCUUUUGCC
Juglans microcarpa x Juglans regia is the source of this 803-nucleotide long non-coding RNA. RefSeq lists it as uncharacterized. The record is from RefSeq and is a predicted model, not a curated record. Lineage: Eukaryota; Viridiplantae; Streptophyta; Magnoliopsida; Fagales; Juglandaceae. The transcript is spliced from 2 exons.